Balaenoptera musculus (blue whale) is the source of this 560-nucleotide long non-coding RNA. RefSeq lists it as uncharacterized. NCBI's taxonomy places the organism in Eukaryota, Metazoa, Chordata, Mammalia, Artiodactyla, Balaenopteridae. The record is from RefSeq and is a predicted model, not a curated record. The transcript is spliced from 3 exons.
AGAUGUCACUUGUAGGGGCUUCCUUACAGGUUGGCAAGGACCGUGCUGCUACCAGGGGGUGUUUCCCCCUGUAGUCGUUCUCUGAUUCUUAGAUUUCCCUCUCACACAGGCAUACGGCUCCCGUUCCUGCUCUGAAUUCUGCCAGGAAAGCAGGACAAGUGCCAGUUGUCCAGCUUGCUUGGGUAGCCACACCAGGAGGAACUCUGGAGACGGUGGAGGAACAGGGAUCUCUCCUCUACAAGACUAGAGCUUUAUCUUCCAAAGUGGAGACCCCUGCCCCAGCAGGAGAUGCUGAAAGGCACUCGCCCCGCUCAGGUCACACUGCAAAAUUUCCAGGCACUUCUUUGUGCACCGUCUUGAUGUCGAGCAAGAUCAGCCAGGUGUGAUUGUCCCGGAGGCAUCCAGACGGAGGCAGACUGUGCGCGCCCCUGCCACCCAGAGGUCACCACUGAGGAAGGACGUCUGUGCCUUGUGUUCCUUGAGAAGAUAAGUUGCAGAUGACAGCGUCUGGAGAGGACCCACAGGUCCUGCUGGUCUUGGUCUGUGCCAGGAGAGAGCCG